Molecule: long non-coding RNA, 600 nt
Filed under: Androctonus crassicauda
Lineage: Eukaryota; Metazoa; Arthropoda; Arachnida; Scorpiones; Buthidae
Source: RNAcentral
CAUUUUAAUUACACCCAUAUGGGUGCCAUCUCUCAAACGUAAAAUAUAUAUUUUUUUCUUAAAUAUUUAUAAUGGAAACAAAAGCAAUUUUAAUGAUGAUAAAUAGCGGUAACUGUUUUCGUUCUUUAAUGAAGCAAGAAACGUAAAAGGGGGAAAAAAAUUGAGGAAUAAUACUGAUAGCGAUCUGGCUUCUGGCAUAUGGCCGAACUACAGUGGCGCUACGGCGGAGAAGGGGAGAACUAAUCACUGUUGCAAUCACGGUACAACACGAGACAGGAAGCAAGACUUCUCAUCCAUGACGCAAAUGAACUAACACACCCCUUCUUUUGUAUCAGCCACCUGCACAGGGGAUUUUUAUGAUAUUAAACCAAAGAAUACUUUAACAGUACAGGAACAUUCAUGCCGAAGCAUUUAAAAAAAAAAAAAAAAUUAAGUUUUAUUAGUUUCCUGAAUGUUCGGAAUAGUUUUACAUAUUUCUGUUUGUUUGACAGAAAAAUAUUUUCGGAGUCUUUAUUUAUUUUUUUUAUGGAUUUUAGGGGUGAUGCAUGGUUUCAGACAUUUUUAAAGAAUAUAAUCACCAAAACAUCGCAUGGAUUUCCC